Molecule: ribosomal RNA, 482 nt
Filed under: uncultured bacterium
Lineage: Bacteria
Description: partial 16S ribosomal RNA
Rfam family: Bacterial small subunit ribosomal RNA
Source: RNAcentral
AUUGAACGCUGGCGGCAUGCUUUACACAUGCAAGUCGAACGGUAACAGGCCGCAAGGUGCUGACGAGUGGCGAACGGGUGAGUAAUGCAUCGGAACGUGCCCAGUCGUGGGGGAUAACUACUCGAAAGAGUAGCUAAUACCGCAUACGAUCUAUGGAUGAAAGCGGGGGACCGUAAGGCCUCGCGCGAUUGGAGCGGCCGAUGUCAGAUUAGGUAGUUGGUGGGGUAAAGGCUCACCAAGCCAACGAUCUGUAGCUGGUCUGAGAGGACGACCAGCCACACUGGGACUGAAACACGGCCCAGACUCCUACGGGAGGCAGCAGUGGGGAAUUUGGGACAAUGGGCGCAAGCCUGAUCCAGCAAUGCCGCGUGCAGGAAGAAGGCCUUCGGGUUGUAAACUGCUUUUGUACGGAACGAAACGGCUCUGGUUAAUACCCGGGGCUAAUGACGGUACCGGAAGAAGAAGCACCGGCUAACUACGUG